This is a long non-coding RNA of Pogoniulus pusillus (Red-fronted tinkerbird), 702 nucleotides long. RefSeq lists it as uncharacterized. The transcript is spliced from 3 exons. NCBI's taxonomy places the organism in Eukaryota, Metazoa, Chordata, Aves, Piciformes, Lybiidae. The record is from RefSeq and is a predicted model, not a curated record.
UCCUCUGCUGCAGGCUGCACACCCCCAGCUCCCUCAGCCUCUCCUCACAGGGCUGUGCUCCAGGCCUUUCACCAGCUUCGUUGCCCUUCUCUGGACACAUUCCAGUAUCUCAACACCUCUCUUGAAUUGAAGUCACAGCACCCUGCAUGGAUGAACAAGGCAUAGUGACUGGAUUCUUUUUUUUCGGUGGGACAAAGGCAGUUUUAAGCUCUGAGGCUUUGAAAAAUAGGAGUUCCCUCUAAGAAAAGGAGCCUUUCUGAGCCCUGAGGAAACCUCACUGGGAUAUUUUUGCAGUUCUAUCAGCAUACACAUCCCUCCUGAUUGCUUUAGGAGCACUCAGAUGCUUCUAUGAGGGUUUCCUCCACCAAGCUCAGCCUGCCUGUUCACCACAUCUGAUGUCUGAGAUGGGUUUGGAAAAGGGGAAAUCCUCCUUUGUGCGCUAUCUGAACAGCUAAUAACGAGAGAUACUGGAAGGAGUUUAAAGAAAACGAGUUGCCUUUGCUCUGAACUUCUUGGCUGUUAUCUGUUCGUUUCAACCCUUAGUGGCAUAGCAAGGUCCUGUCACUCAUCUUCGCAGUGCCAGGCUUUCCAUACCAAGUAUUUAGCCCCUUUCUGGGCUUUUUUAAUCACACACACACCUGCUACCUUUAAAAAAAAUAAAAAGGGAAGAAAAAUAUUUGUGCUGAAAAAGUUAACUCACGA